GGAUGAACGCUGGCGGCGUGCCUAAUACGUGCAAGUCGAGCGAACGGACGAGAAGCUUGCUUCUCUGAUGUUAGCGGCGGACGGGUGAGUAACACGUGGAUAACCUACCUAUAAGACUGGGAUAACUUCGGGAAACCGGAGCUAAUACCGGAUAAUAUUUUGAACCGCAUGGUACAAAAGUGAAAGACGGUCUUGCUGUCACUUAUAGAUGGAUCCGCGCUGCAUUAGCUAGUUGGUAAGGUAACGGCUUACCAAGGCAACGAUGCAUAGCCGACCUGAGAGGGUGAUCGGCCACACUGGAACUGAGACACGGUCCAGACUCCUACGGGAGGCAGCAGUAGGGAAUCUUCCGCAAUGGGCGAAAGCCUGACGGAGCAACGCCGCGUGAGUGAUGAAGGUCUUCGGAUCGUAAAACUCUGUUAUUAGGGAAGAACAUAUGUGUAAGUAACUGUGCACAUCUUGACGGUACCUAAUCAGAAAGCCACGGCUAACUACGUG
This 498-nucleotide ribosomal RNA is filed under the name uncultured bacterium. RNAcentral's name for it is "partial 16S ribosomal RNA". It matches the Rfam family "Bacterial small subunit ribosomal RNA", at positions 27 to 507 of the family's 1533-position model. The record is from RNAcentral.